This 1479-nucleotide ribosomal RNA is filed under the name Klebsiella sp. RNAcentral describes it as "bacterial SSU rRNA". It matches the Rfam family "Bacterial small subunit ribosomal RNA". The record is from RNAcentral. Lineage: Bacteria; Pseudomonadati; Pseudomonadota; Gammaproteobacteria; Enterobacterales; Enterobacteriaceae.
GCUCAGAUUGAACGCUGGCGGCAGGCCUAACACAUGCAAGUCGAGCGGUAGCACAGAGAGCUUGCUCUCGGGUGACGAGCGGCGGACGGGUGAGUAAUGUCUGGGAAACUGCCUGAUGGAGGGGGAUAACUACUGGAAACGGUAGCUAAUACCGCAUAACGUCGCAAGACCAAAGUGGGGGACCUUCGGGCCUCAUGCCAUCAGAUGUGCCCAGAUGGGAUUAGCUAGUAGGUGGGGUAACGGCUCACCUAGGCGACGAUCCCUAGCUGGUCUGAGAGGAUGACCAGCCACACUGGAACUGAGACACGGUCCAGACUCCUACGGGAGGCAGCAGUGGGGAAUAUUGCACAAUGGGCGCAAGCCUGAUGCAGCCAUGCCGCGUGUGUGAAGAAGGCCUUCGGGUUGUAAAGCACUUUCAGCGGGGAGGAAGGCGGUGAGGUUAAUAACCUCAUCGAUUGACGUUACCCGCAGAAGAAGCACCGGCUAACUCCGUGCCAGCAGCCGCGGUAAUACGGAGGGUGCAAGCGUUAAUCGGAAUUACUGGGCGUAAAGCGCACGCAGGCGGUCUGUCAAGUCGGAUGUGAAAUCCCCGGGCUCAACCUGGGAACUGCAUUCGAAACUGGCAGGCUAGAGUCUUGUAGAGGGGGGUAGAAUUCCAGGUGUAGCGGUGAAAUGCGUAGAGAUCUGGAGGAAUACCGGUGGCGAAGGCGGCCCCCUGGACAAAGACUGACGCUCAGGUGCGAAAGCGUGGGGAGCAAACAGGAUUAGAUACCCUGGUAGUCCACGCCGUAAACGAUGUCGAUUUGGAGGUUGUGCCCUUGAGGCGUGGCUUCCGGAGCUAACGCGUUAAAUCGACCGCCUGGGGAGUACGGCCGCAAGGUUAAAACUCAAAUGAAUUGACGGGGGCCCGCACAAGCGGUGGAGCAUGUGGUUUAAUUCGAUGCAACGCGAAGAACCUUACCUGGUCUUGACAUCCACAGAACUUUCCAGAGAUGGAUUGGUGCCUUCGGGAACUGUGAGACAGGUGCUGCAUGGCUGUCGUCAGCUCGUGUUGUGAAAUGUUGGGUUAAGUCCCGCAACGAGCGCAACCCUUAUCCUUUGUUGCCAGCGGUCAGGCCGGGAACUCAAAGGAGACUGCCAGUGAUAAACUGGAGGAAGGUGGGGAUGACGUCAAGUCAUCAUGGCCCUUACGACCAGGGCUACACACGUGCUACAAUGGCAUAUACAAAGAGAAGCGACCUCGCGAGAGCAAGCGGACCUCAUAAAGUAUGUCGUAGUCCGGAUUGGAGUCUGCAACUCGACUCCAUGAAGUCGGAAUCGCUAGUAAUCGUAGAUCAGAAUGCUACGGUGAAUACGUUCCCGGGCCUUGUACACACCGCCCGUCACACCAUGGGAGUGGGUUGCAAAAGAAGUAGGUAGCUUAACCUUCGGGAGGGCGCUUACCACUUUGUGAUUCAUGACUGGGGUGAAGUCUAAAAG